This 736-nucleotide ribosomal RNA is filed under the name Rhabdochlamydiaceae bacterium. RNAcentral describes it as "bacterial SSU rRNA". It matches the Rfam family "Bacterial small subunit ribosomal RNA", at positions 58 to 760 of the family's 1533-position model. Lineage: Bacteria; Pseudomonadati; Chlamydiota; Chlamydiia; Parachlamydiales; Candidatus Rhabdochlamydiaceae. The record is from RNAcentral.
CAAGUCGAACGAAACUAGAAGGCAACUUUUAAGUUUAGUGGCGAAAGGGUUAGUAAUACAUGAAUAACUUACCCUUUACCUGGGGAUAACGACUGGAAACAGGCGCUAAUACCGAAUGAGGUACCGAUAAACAAUUAUUGGCUAUCAAAGUGGGGGCCCUUGUCAAAGAGGCCUUGCGGUAAAGGAUAGGUUCAUGGGAUAUCAUGCUAGUUGGUGUGGUAAAGGCGCACCAAGGCUAAGACGUCUAGGCGGAUUGAGAGAUUGACCGCCAACAUUGGGACUGAGACACUGCCCAAACUCCUACGGGAGGCUGCAGUCGAGAAUCUUUCGCAAUGGGCGAAAGCCUGACGAAGCGACGCUGCGUGAGUGAUGAAGGCUUUCGGGUUGUAAAACUCUUUCGCGCAGGAAAAAACCAAGCUUAGUGAAUAACUAAGUUUGGGCCUAGUGAUUGUACUGCGUAAAGAAGCACCGGCUAACUCCGUGCCAGCAGCUGCGGUAAUACGGAGGGUGCAAGCAUUAAUCGGAAUUAUUGGGCGUAAAGGGCGCGUAGGCGGAAUUAAAAGUCAGAUGUGAAAUUCCGAAGCUCAACUUCGGAGCCGCAUUUGAAACUGCAAUUCUUGAGGAAUGGCGGAGGAAACGGAAUUCCACGUGUAGCGGUGAAAUGCUUAGAUAUGUGGAAGAACACCUGUGGCGAAAGCGGUUUUCUAGCUUUUACCUGACGCUGAGGCGCGAGAGC